Ricinus communis (castor bean) is the source of this 1292-nucleotide long non-coding RNA. RefSeq lists it as uncharacterized. Lineage: Eukaryota; Viridiplantae; Streptophyta; Magnoliopsida; Malpighiales; Euphorbiaceae. The transcript is spliced from 2 exons. The record is from RefSeq and is a predicted model, not a curated record.
AAUCACAUUUCUUUAUGCUAUUAGAGCCUAUCAUCUAACAAGACAAUUUUUCUUUUUCUUUUCCAAGAUGUCAACCAAUUUUGCUACUUCUUUUGCCUCUUGUUUCUUCAGCUUUUGCUACUCUUUCCACCUUUGAGAUAUCGGUUCAAUCUUCCAUCCUACCCUCUUCUCACUCUGUUUUCCAUGUUAGUAACAUCAAGAAUCACAUCUCUCUUGUUCUUGACUUCAAAAACUUUCUCCUGUGGCAGACUCUCUUCAUUACUAUCGCUCAUUGUUAUGAACUCUAUAAUUGUAUUGAUGCUAUAAUAGAUCCACCACCUCCAAUUAUUGUUUCUGGUGAAACUACUAGAUGAAUCCAACCUACAUUCUUUGAUUGCAGAUUGAUCACACUAUCAUAUUUUGGCUACAUGCUAGCAUCUCCCCUGAUAUUUUGAAACACGUUUUACAUCCCAGGAGAAGGCUUUCGGCUAGAGACACUUGGGCAGAAAUUGAAAAACUCUUCCAUGAUCAUGCCAAUGCAAAAUAUAUGCAAUUAAAGAGGGUUUUCAAUCAAGCCCAAAGGAACUCAUUCCAUGGCCGAAUAUCUCCAAUUUAUCAAAUCUACAGUUGACGACGAUGAUGUUAAUUUACACGUUUCAUGAGGCUUAUUUCUGAUUAUUCAGAUGUUGUGACAGUGGUGACCGUUUGCAAACCUUCGCCUUCCUUCUUGGAACUGCGCUCCUUUCUUUUAGCACAUGAAUCUCGCCUGCAACAAGAUACUAAUGGCUCUUUUUCUAAUCAAGCUAUGACAGUUUCAUGAUCUCAAGGUCGUGGUGGCUAUUCAAAUCGAUCCUUUCAUGGCAAUUUCCAAAGGGGCGAUCGUUAUCAACAACCAAGAGAGGCAACACUGGAGGCCAGCUAGCUCAGUUCAGGAGUUUUUUUAGGGUUCAAUGACCCAUUAUCAGCAUCAGAUCGGUGAGAAGAUAUCGCAGCUCGGCGAAUCAAUAUUGGCAGUAAUGGUGGAAGUUUAUCUGCCUUAUUUCAUCAUUAACCAAUCGUUUCUAGUGAAAUAAAUAGCAGCGGAAGGCUUGCGAGUCAAGAAGAGAAAUUGGCAAAAGUAUGGUAGCAUGCAGUGAAUAACAAGGGAGGAGCCGUCGCGGAGAGAGAGCGUGGGAGAGGGACCGAAAUGACAAUUUGACUACAGUAACAAAUUGUUGUUAAAGUCAUUCUAGAUAAAUUAAAUUUGCUACAGUAACACACUUGUAUAUAAAUUUUUAAGUCUAAUUAAACAAUAAAAUCAUAUUUUCACAAAA